This 117-nucleotide small RNA is filed under the name Marmota monax (woodchuck). The record is from RNAcentral. Lineage: Eukaryota; Metazoa; Chordata; Mammalia; Rodentia; Sciuridae.
GUGAGGCAUAGUGGCGCAUGCCUAUAGUCCCAUCUACUUGGGAGACUGAGGUGGGAGAAUUGCUUGAAUCCUGGAGUUUGAGGCUAGCCUGGGCGACAUAAUAAGACACCAGUUUAA